This is a long non-coding RNA of Vidua macroura (Pin-tailed whydah), 1211 nucleotides long. RefSeq lists it as uncharacterized. NCBI's taxonomy places the organism in Eukaryota, Metazoa, Chordata, Aves, Passeriformes, Viduidae. The transcript has 4 exons. The record is from RefSeq and is a predicted model, not a curated record.
CGGCCCCGGCGGAGGGAAGCGCAGGCGGCGGCGGGUUCGCGGCUGCAUCCCCCUCUCCGGUGCGACCCCCGGCAUCCUCUUCUGGAGCCAGCAGGGCCCGACCUUUCCAGCGGAGGACCUGAGGUGGAUGAUGCACCAAGUUGAAAAAUUACUUUGCUGGUCCAGCCAUUGACCUAAUAAGUGUUCCAGACAUCCCGAGGAGGGCAUGGACAACUGGAAAGAAAGCAAACAAAGUUCGGCAGAGGAAUAGUGAUGGCAUCAUACUUCACUACAACUUUCUGAAUGGCGUGAAGAUGACUCUAAGGAGUUGGCAGUGUUAAAGCCCCAAGAAAAACACGUACUUUCUGUCAGCCCCUCAUGCCUGCACCCAUGACUCUCACAACACUUAAAGGAUUCUAGCAUCUACAAGCUUAUGAAUUAGUCUCAAGUGUAAUAUGAUCUUUAAAAUGAGAUCUUCUUGAUUGCAAUAGACAACAGACCAAUUAUGCUUAAAACCAGAAUCAUUGUUUACCUUAACUGCGAAACUGAGGCAGUGUCACACACAAGGCUGCCAGAGCUGAUUAUAAAACUGUCUAUUUGUAUUAGAGACUCAAUAUUUCAUGGCAUUAAAAAAAAAAAAAAAAAAGUCAAGAUCAGCCAUUAGCAAACUGGAAUAUUAUAUACAAGAGUCUCUAAUUCCGUGAGUCAAAAAACCUUAAUUCAUCUAUGUUGGGAUUAACCUUCUGGUUUUGUGAGGAAAAGAGAAAGCCCAAGUACAUGCAAAAUAAAUUGAUAGUCUACAAUCAUCUUUUUAAGGACAAAUUUGUUAGCUUUCGUUCCCAGCACAAAGGACUGUAUGAGUAUUUUUACAACUUCUUUAAAAACUGCAUUUUGCUAUUUAAAAAAAUUCCUAUACAAAUAUAGCCCUUGUGAAUAUGUAUUUAUGAGUCUACAUUUCUAAUCCAUAUUUCCUAAUUAAUGUUAGAAAGUCACCAUUCCUUGAAUUUUUAUCUCAAAAUUCAAUCUCCUAUAUAACACAGAGUUUAUUUUCAAUAUUUAGACCAAGAAGAUAACUUUCAUACAUCAAGGACCACUUGGUUAAUUUCUACAGUAAUUGCAAGAGCAAGUUUAUUAAUCUAGAACAUGUGAUAUUUAAUGCAGGUGAACCAUUAUCUGAAAUUUGCUGGAGCUUGUUAAGAGGUUGUAAGUUAAUUACCUCCUUUUGUAGAUGG